UACGUAGGGUGCAAGCGUUGUCCGGAAUCACUGGGCGUAAAGGGCGCGUAGGCGGCUCAUGAAGGCUGUGGUGAAAGUCCGGGGCUCAACCUCGGAUCGGCCGUGGCGACUCGUGGGCUGGAGCACUGUAGAGGCGGGUGGAAUUUCGGGUGUAGCGGUGGAAUGCGUAGAGAUCCGGAAGAACACCGGUGGCGAAGGCGGCCUGCUGGGCAGUGGCUGACGCUGAGGCGCGAAAGCGAGGGGAGCAAACAGG
RNAcentral lists this ribosomal RNA (253 nucleotides) under uncultured bacterium. RNAcentral describes it as "partial 16S ribosomal RNA". It matches the Rfam family "Bacterial small subunit ribosomal RNA", at positions 524 to 776 of the family's 1533-position model. The record is from RNAcentral.